AGUCGACGGACUCAUAUUGAAACCUAGUGAUUUAUGAGUUAGUGGCGGACGGGUGAGUAACGCGUGGAAAACCUGCCGUAUACCGGGGGAUAACACUUAGAAAUAGGUGCUAAUACCGCAUAAGCGCACAGCUUCGCAUGAAGCAGUGUGAAAAACUCCGGUGGUAUAUGAUGGUUCCGCGUCUGAUUAGCUAGUUGGCGGGGUAACGGCCCACCAAGGCAGCGAUCAGUAGCCGGCCUGAGAGGGUGAACGGCCACAUUGGGACUGAGACACGGCCCAAACUCCUACGGGAGGCAGCAGUGGGGAAUAUUGCACAAUGGGGGAAACCCUGAUGCAGCGACGCCGCGUGAGUGAAGAAGUAUUUCGGUACGUAAAGCUCUAUCAGCAGGGAAGAAAAGGAACUAAAGUUCCCAUGACGGUACCUGAUUAAGAAGCCCCGGCUAACUACGUGCCAGCAGCCGCGGUAAUACGUAGGGGGCAAGCGUUAUCCGGAUUUACUGGGUGUAAAGGGAGCGUAGACGGCAGCGCAAGUCUGGAGUGAAAUGCCGGGGCCCAACCCCGGAACUGCUUUGGAAACUGUGCAGCUGGAGUGCGGGAGAGGUAAGUGGAAUUCCUAGUGUAGCGGUGAAAUGCGUAGAUAUUAGGAGGAACACCAGUGGCGAAGGCGGCUUGCUGGACCGUAACUGACGUUGAGGCUCGAAAGCGUGGGGAGCAAACAGGAUUAGAUACCCUGGUAGU
This 738-nucleotide ribosomal RNA is filed under the name uncultured bacterium. RNAcentral describes it as "bacterial SSU rRNA". It matches the Rfam family "Bacterial small subunit ribosomal RNA", at positions 60 to 794 of the family's 1533-position model. The record is from RNAcentral.